CAGUAGCACCUCCGCAUUUAACCGCCACUAUGGAUUUGUACUCUACCAUUCAAAAUGCAUAGAUCAGUUGUUGCUUCAAGCAUAACAUGAGUAUUCUUAGCCGUGUUUCUCCAUACUGAUGAUGAGUAUUCUUACAAUUGUUUCUUCAAGCUGACAUUGAAGUUUAUUACUACCGCCUCUUCGAGUUAACCUUGAGUAUUAUUAUCACCGUCUCUCCUGGCUAAGCUUGAGUUUUGUUACCAACACCUCUCUAGAUUGACCUUGAGUUUUAUUAUCACCGUCUCUCCAAAUUGAGUUUGAG
This 301-nucleotide long non-coding RNA is filed under the name Trifolium pratense (red clover). RNAcentral describes it as "long non-coding RNA (TPRA_LNC004555)". The record is from RNAcentral. Lineage: Eukaryota; Viridiplantae; Streptophyta; Magnoliopsida; Fabales; Fabaceae.